CCUACGGGUGGCAGCAGUGAGGAAUAUUGGUCAAUGGGCGCGAGCCUGAACCAGCCAAGUCGCGUGAAGGAUGACGGCCCUACGGGUUGUAAACUUCUUUUAUAAAGGAAUAAAGUGCGGCACGUGUGCCUUUUUGUAUGUACUUUAUGAAUAAGGAUCGGCUAACUCCGUGCCAGCAGCCGCGGUAAUACGGAGGAUCCGAGCGUUAUCCGGAUUUAUUGGGUUUAAAGGGAGCGUAGGUGGGUUGUUAAGUCAGUUGUGAAAGUUUGCGGCUCAACCGUAAAAUUGCCAUUGAUACUGGGAGCCUUGAGUGCAGGUGAGGUAGGCGGAAUUCGUGGUGUAGCGGUGAAAUGCAUAGAUAUCACGAAGAACUCCGAUUGCGAAGGCAGCUUACUAAACUGCAACUGACAUUGAUGCUCGAAAGUGUGGGUAUCAAACAGGAUUAGAUACCCUGGUAGUC
This 460-nucleotide ribosomal RNA is filed under the name uncultured bacterium. Its description in RNAcentral is "partial 16S ribosomal RNA". It matches the Rfam family "Bacterial small subunit ribosomal RNA", at positions 338 to 795 of the family's 1533-position model. The record is from RNAcentral.